Non-coding RNA from Phrynosoma platyrhinos (Desert horned lizard), 72 nucleotides. The record is from the annotation of a GenBank genome assembly. Lineage: Eukaryota; Metazoa; Chordata; Lepidosauria; Squamata; Phrynosomatidae.
GUCAGCAUGGUGCAGUGGUUUGAGCACUGGACUUGGACUCUGGAGACCAGAGUUUGAAUCCUGGUUUGGCCA